GACGAACGCUGGCGGCGUGCUUAACACAUGCAAGUCGAACGGAAAGGCCCUGCUUUUGUGGGGUGCUCGAGUGGCGAACGGGUGAGUAACACGUGAGUAACCUGCCCUUGACUUUGGGAUAACUUCAGGAAACUGGGGCUAAUACCGGAUAGGAGCUCCUGCUGCAUGGUGGGGGUUGGAAAGUUUCGGCGGUUGGGGAUGGACUCGCGGCUUAUCAGCUUGUUGGUGGGGUAGUGGCUUACCAAGGCUUUGACGGGUAGCCGGCCUGAGAGGGUGACCGGCGAUAUUGGGACUUAGAGACGGCCCAGGCUCCUACGGGUGGAAGCAGGGGGGAAGAUUGCACAAGGGGCGGAAGCCUGAUGCAGCAGCGCCGCGGGCGGUAUGACGGCCUUCGGGUGGAAAACCGCUUUCGCCUGUGACGAAGCGUGAGUGACGGUAAUGGGUAAAGAAGCACCGGCUAACUACGUGC
RNAcentral lists this ribosomal RNA (469 nucleotides) under uncultured bacterium. Its description in RNAcentral is "partial 16S ribosomal RNA". It matches the Rfam family "Bacterial small subunit ribosomal RNA", at positions 28 to 508 of the family's 1533-position model. The record is from RNAcentral.